UACGUAGGUGGCAAGCGUUGUCCGGAUUUACUGGGCGUAAAGAGCGCGCAGGCGGUCGUUCAAGUCGCGUGUGAAAGCCCCCGGCUCAACUGGGGAGGGUCACGCGAUACUGAUCGACUCGAAGGCAGGAGAGGGAAGUGGAAUUCCCGGUGUAGUGGUGAAAUGCGUAGAUAUCGGGAGGAACACCUGUGGCGAAGGCGGCUUUCUGGGCCUUACCUGACGCUGAGACGCGAAAGCGUGGGGAGCGAACCGGG
This 254-nucleotide ribosomal RNA is filed under the name uncultured bacterium. Its description in RNAcentral is "partial 16S ribosomal RNA". It matches the Rfam family "Bacterial small subunit ribosomal RNA", at positions 524 to 777 of the family's 1533-position model. The record is from RNAcentral.